GGGUGCAAUCAUAUCAGCACUAAGUCUGUAGUUAAACAUGCUUGGGCGAGAGGAAUACUAGGAUGGGUGACCUCCUGGGAAGUCCUCGUGUUGCACCCC
Molecule: non-coding RNA, 99 nt
Organism: Populus trichocarpa (black cottonwood)
Lineage: Eukaryota; Viridiplantae; Streptophyta; Magnoliopsida; Malpighiales; Salicaceae
Source: Rfam